This 334-nucleotide long non-coding RNA is filed under the name Carica papaya (papaya). RNAcentral describes it as "long non-coding RNA (CPAP_LNC009637)". The record is from RNAcentral. Lineage: Eukaryota; Viridiplantae; Streptophyta; Magnoliopsida; Brassicales; Caricaceae.
AGGUGUUCACCUAGGAUGAUUUUGAAAUGUUUUGUUCCAUUGUUGGUUCAUAAGACUUUAAUGGAGGUUUGGAAUUGAUUUUUGACUAUGGAGUGAAAGUUUUGGAAGAUUUUUGUGACUUAUUUUUUUAAAGAGAUAAACACAAUAAACUCUGGUAUGAUCAUCAGUGAACAUAAUAAUAAAUCAUCUAGUAACUGCAAUAGAGAAAGCCUCCAAAUAUCACCAUGAACUAUGGAGAAUAGUCUAGUGGAUCGAGACUCUUUAAGUAUGGUUUGGUUCGCAGUGGGUUCUCAACAACAUGAACAAAUUCAGCAAAAAAAUGGGCGUCUCUUUU